Molecule: ribosomal RNA, 439 nt
Filed under: uncultured bacterium
Lineage: Bacteria
Description: partial 16S ribosomal RNA
Rfam family: Bacterial small subunit ribosomal RNA
Source: RNAcentral
CUACGGGUCGCACCAGUGAGGAAUAUUGCACAAUGGGGGGAACCCUGAUGCAGCAACGCCGCGUGGAGGAUGACGCAUUUCGGUGUGUAAACUCCUUUUAUAUGUCAAGAAAAUGACGGUAGCAUAUGAAUAAGCACCGGCUAACUCCGUGCCAGCAGCCGCGGUAAUACGGAGGGUGCAAGCGUUACUCGGAAUCACUGGGCGUAAAGGACGCGUAGGCGGGCUUGUAAGUCAGGUGUGAAAUCCUACAGCUUAACUGUAGAACUGCACUUGAAACUACGAGCCUAGAGUAUGGGAGGGGGAGAUGGAAUUAGUGGUGUAGGGGUAAAAUCCGUAGAUAUCACUAGGAAUACCUAAAGCGAAGGCGAUCUCCUGGAACAUUACUGACGCUAAGGCGUGAAAGCGUGGGGAGCAAACAGGAUUAGAUACCCGGGUAGUC